Long non-coding RNA from Lutra lutra (Eurasian river otter), 764 nucleotides. RefSeq lists it as uncharacterized. Lineage: Eukaryota; Metazoa; Chordata; Mammalia; Carnivora; Mustelidae. The transcript has 3 exons. The record is from RefSeq and is a predicted model, not a curated record.
AGCUGGCAGUGCUUGUGUGGGUGAGCAGGGGCAGGGGGGAGAGCAGGAGGGUCAGGGGCUGCCCCAGGGGCUCAGGGGAGCUGGCAGAGCUUGUGCAGGUGAGAAGGGGCAGGGGCGAGAGUAGGAGGCGCAGGGGGCUGCCCCAGGGGCUCAGGGGAGCUGGAAGAGCUUGUGUAGGUGAGCAGGGGCAGGGGGGAGAGCAGGAGGGGCAGGGGGUUGCCCCAGGGGCUCAGGGACCAGACAGAGCUUGUGCAGGUGAGCAGGGGCAGGGGGGAGAGCAGGAGGGGCAGGGGGCUACCCAGAGGCUCAGCGAGCAGACAGGGCUUAUGCAGGUGAGCCGGUUCAGCGGGGAGAGCAGGAGGCCCAGGAGGCUGCCCCAGGGGCUCAGGGGAGCCCUCAGAGUUUGUGCAGGUGAGCAGGGGUAGAGCUGGAGAUCAGAAGGGACAAGGGCUGCCCCAGGGGCUCAGGGGAGCAGGCAGAGCUUGUGUAGGUGAGCAGGGGCAGGGAGGAGAGCAGGAGGGGCAGGGGGUUGCACCAGGGGCUCAGAGGAGCUGGCAGUGCUUGUGUGGGUGAGCAGGGGCAGGGGGGAGAGCAGGAGGGUCAGGGGGCUGCCCCGGGGGCUCAGGGGAGCUCGCAGAGCUUGUGCAGGUGAGAAGGGGCAGGGGCGAGAGUAGGAGGCGCAGGGGGCUGCCCCAGGGGCUCAGGGAGCAGACAGAGCUUGUGCAGUUGAGCAGGGGCAAGGGGGACAGCAGGAGGGGCAGGGG